Molecule: ribosomal RNA, 621 nt
Filed under: Neorhizobium galegae
Lineage: Bacteria; Pseudomonadati; Pseudomonadota; Alphaproteobacteria; Hyphomicrobiales; Rhizobiaceae
Description: bacterial SSU rRNA
Rfam family: Bacterial small subunit ribosomal RNA
Source: RNAcentral
GAGGAGCGGCAGACGGGUGAGUAACGCGUGGGAAUCUACCCAUCCCUACGGAACAACUCCGGGAAACUGGAGCUAAUACCGUAUACGCCCUUCGGGGGAAAGAUUUAUCGGGGAUGGAUGAGCCCGCGUUGGAUUAGCUAGUUGGUGGGGUAAAGGCCUACCAAGGCGACGAUCCAUAGCUGGUCUGAGAGGAUGAUCAGCCACAUUGGGACUGAGACACGGCCCAAACUCCUACGGGAGGCAGCAGUGGGGAAUAUUGGACAAUGGGCGCAAGCCUGAUCCAGCCAUGCCGCGUGAGUGAUGAAGGUCUUAGGAUUGUAAAGCUCUUUCACCGGAGAAGAUAAUGACGGUAUCCGGAGAAGAAGCCCCGGCUAACUUCGUGCCAGCAGCCGCGGUAAUACGAAGGGGGCUAGCGUUGUUCGGAAUUACUGGGCGUAAAGCGCACGUAGGCGGAUAUUUAAGUCAGGGGUGAAAUCCCAGAGCUCAACUCUGGAACUGCCUUUGAUACUGGGUAUCUUGAGUAUGAAAGAGGUAAGUGGAAUUGCGAGUGUAGAGGUGAAAUUCGUAGAUAUUCGCAGGAACACCAGUGGCGAAGGCGGCUUACUGGUCCAUUACUGACGC